RNAcentral lists this ribosomal RNA (383 nucleotides) under uncultured bacterium. RNAcentral describes it as "bacterial SSU rRNA". It matches the Rfam family "Bacterial small subunit ribosomal RNA", at positions 28 to 412 of the family's 1533-position model. The record is from RNAcentral.
GACGAACGCUGGCGGCGUGCUUAACACAUGCAAGUCGAGCGGUAAGGCCCUUUCGGGGGUACACGAGCGGCGAACGGGUGAGUAACACGUGGGUGACCUGCCCUCAGCUCUGGGAUAAGCCUGGGAAACCGGGUCUAAUACUGGAUAUGACUCCAUGACGCAUGUUGUGGGGUGGAAAGCCUUGUGCGGCUGAGGAUGGGCCCGCGGCCUAUCAGCUUGUUGGUGGGGUGANGGCCUACCAAGGCGGCGACGGGUAGCCGGCCUGAGAGGGCGACCGGCCACACUGGGACUGAGACACGGCCCAGACUCCUACGGGAGGCAGCAGUGGGGAAUCUUGCGCAAGUGGGCGAAAGCCUGACGCAGCGACGCCGCGUGAGGAUGAC